Molecule: ribosomal RNA, 421 nt
Filed under: uncultured bacterium
Lineage: Bacteria
Description: bacterial SSU rRNA
Rfam family: Bacterial small subunit ribosomal RNA
Source: RNAcentral
UGGGGAAUUUUGCACAAUGGGCGAAAGCCUGAUGCAGCAACGCCGCGUGUGUGAUGAAGGUCUUCGGAUCGUAAAGCACUUUCGACCGGGACGAACAAGCCUGGCCACACCAGGCCCUGACGGUACCGGGAGAAGAAGCACCGGCUAACUCUGGGCCAGCAGCCGCGGUAAUACAGAGGGUGCAAGCGUUGUUCGGAAUUAUUGGGCGUAAAGCGCGUGUAGGCGGCUUAGCAAGUCGGGCGUGAAAGCCCUCGGCUCAACCGAGGAAGUGCACCCGAAACUGCUGAGCUUGAGUGCCGGAGAGGAUGGCGGAAUUCCCCAAGUAGAGGUGAAAUUCGUAGAUAUGGGGAGGAACACCGGUGGCGAAGGCGGCCAUCUGGACGGUAACUGACGCUGAGACGCGAAAGCGUGGGGAGCAAAC